RNAcentral lists this ribosomal RNA (919 nucleotides) under uncultured Campylobacterota bacterium. RNAcentral describes it as "bacterial SSU rRNA". It matches the Rfam family "Bacterial small subunit ribosomal RNA", at positions 335 to 1270 of the family's 1533-position model. The record is from RNAcentral. Lineage: Bacteria; Pseudomonadati; Campylobacterota.
ACUCCUACGGGAGGCAGCAGUGGGGAAUAUUGCACAAUGGGGGAAACCCUGAUGCAGCAACGCCGCGUGGAGGAUGACACAUUUCGGUGCGUAAACUCCUUUUAUAUGGGAAGAUAAUGACGGUACCAUAUGAAUAAGCACCGGCUAACUCCGUGCCAGCAGCCGCGGUAAUACGGAGGGUGCAAGCGUUACUCGGAAUCACUGGGCGUAAAGCGCGCGCAGGCGGCUUGAUAAGUUGGAUGUGAAAGCCUACGGCUCAACCGUAGAACUGCAUCCAAAACUGUCAAGCUAGAGUGUGGGAGAGGAAGAUGGAAUUAGUUGUGUAGGGGUAAAAUCCGUAGAGAUAACUAGGAAUACCAAAAGCGAAGGCAAUCUUCUGGAACACUACUGACGCUGAGGCGCGAAAGCGUGGGGAGCAAACAGGAUUAGAUACCCUGGUAGUCCACGCAGUAAACGAUGAAUGUUAGUCGUCGGGGGCCUAGUGUCUUCGGUGAUGCAGUUAACACAUUAAACAUUCCGCCUGGGGAGUACGGUCGCAAGAUUAAAACUCAAAGGAAUAGACGGGGACCCGCACAAGUGGUGGAGCAUGUGGUUUAAUUCGAAGAUACGCGAAGAACCUUACCUAGCCUUGACAUAUAUUAGAAUCUUCCAGAGAUGGAGGAGUGCCUUCGGGAGCUUUUAUACAGGUGCUGCACGGCUGUCGUCAGCUCGUGUCGUGAGAUGUUGGGUUAAGUCCCGCAACGAGCGCAACCCUCGUCACUAGUUACUAACGGUUCGGCCGAGGACUCUAGUGAGACUGCCUUCGUAAGGAGGAGGAAGGUGAGGACGACGUCAAGUCAUCAUGGGCCCUUACGGCUAGGGCAACACACGUGCUACAAUGGGCCAGGACAGUGAGAAGCGAUACCGCGAGGUGGAGCAA